RNAcentral lists this ribosomal RNA (1553 nucleotides) under uncultured Glomus. RNAcentral's name for it is "eukaryotic LSU rRNA". The stretch from base 713 to 1553 matches the Rfam family "Eukaryotic large subunit ribosomal RNA", at positions 1 to 694 of the family's 3401-position model. The record is from RNAcentral. Lineage: Eukaryota; Fungi; Glomeromycota; Glomeromycetes; Glomerales; Glomeraceae.
UUAUUGCUCUUGAACGAGGAAUCCCUAGUAAGCACAAGUCAUUAGCUUGUGCUGAUUACGUCCCUGCCCUUUGUACACACCGCCCGUCGCUACUACCGAUUGAAUGGCUUAGUGAGGCCUUCGGAUCGAGAUUCGGAGACUGGCAACAGACUCUGGGUUUUGAAAAGUUGGUCAAACUUGGUCAUUUAGAGGAAGUAAAAGUCGUAACAAGGUUUCCGUAGGUGAACCUGCGGAAGGAUCAUUACCAAUCUUAGCGGGCCUGAUCUUUUAUUGAUUAUGGUUCGCGAAAAUCGUAUUUAAAACCCCACUCUUAUUAAAUGAAUCAUUUUAUUUGUAAUAAUAAAUAAAGAUCACUUUCAACAACGGAUCUCUUGGCUCUCGCAUCGAUGAAGAACGUAGCGAAGUGCGAUAAGUAAUGUGAAUUGCAGAAUUCCGUGAAUCAUCGAAUCUUUGAACGCAAAUUGCACUCUCUUCGGAGAGUAUGCCUGUUUGAGGGUCAGUGUAAUGAAUCAAAUCGGGGUGUUGCUUUUUUUGUGAUGCUUUCGGAGUUUGGGUUAUCUUAGCCUUCGGGUUAAGAGGCCUAAAAUUGAGUCACUUUUUGGUCACACUUCUAGGCGUACAUAAAUUUGUUUUUAUUCGUCUAUUCGUGCCAGAAAAUUUUACUAGGUGCGAAUCACGUUUUAUGAUUCCGUGCCUAUAAUUUAUCAUGAUUUGACCUCAAAUCAGGUAGGAGUACCCGCUGAACUUAAGCAUAUCAAUAAGCGGAGGAAAAGAAAAUAACAAUGAUUCCCUUAGUAACUGCGAGUGAAGAGGGACAAGCUCAAAUUUUAAAUCUGUUAGGUUUACCUAACCGAGUUGUAAUUUGAAGAGGCGUUUUCUGCGCAGUUUGGUCAGCCCAAGUCCUAUUGAAUGAGGCAUCAUGGAGGGUGAUAAUCCCGUCCGGCUGAUCAUUGCGUUUUACGAUACGCUUUCUAAGAGUCAAGUUGUUUGGGAUUGCAGCUUAAAAUGGGAGGUAAAUUUCUCCUAAGGCUAAAUAUUGGCGAGAGACCGAUAGCGAACAAGUACCGUGAGGGAAAGAUGAAAAGUACUUUGAAAAGAGAGUUAAAUAGCACGUGAAAUUGUUGAAAGGGAAACGAUUGAAGCCAGUCGUACUUGCGGACAAUCAGCCUUUCGGGUGCGAUUCUGUGGAGCGUGAGGAGUUAAACGCCUUCAUGCCUGCGUAUUUGUACUCUGGGGUGUACUUGGACGUGCGGUAGGUUAACAUCAAUUUCGGAUGUCAUAAAAUGGCUGGAGGAAUGUAGCUUCGGUCUCGUACUGAAGUGUUAUAGCCUUUGGUAGAUGUGAUGACCGGGAUUGAGGAUUGCAACGAAUACCUUUUGGGCUACCCGCCUGAUCUCUGAAAGUUGCUCUGGUGCCGAAAGCUUGCUUACGGUUAUCAAAGUUGACGUUCAAAAGGUUAGAACGGGUUAAAUUCGUUAAGGAUGUUGACGUAAUGGCUUUAAACGACCCGUCUUGAAACACGGACCAAGGAGUCUAACAUAUAUGCGAGUGUU